This 253-nucleotide ribosomal RNA is filed under the name uncultured bacterium. RNAcentral's name for it is "partial 16S ribosomal RNA". It matches the Rfam family "Bacterial small subunit ribosomal RNA", at positions 524 to 776 of the family's 1533-position model. The record is from RNAcentral.
UACGUAGGGUGCGAGCGUUAAUCGGAAUUACUGGGCGUAAAGCGUGCGCAGGCGGUUUUGUAAGCCGGAUGUGAAAUCCCCGGGCUUAACCUGGGAAUGGCAUUUGGGACUGCAAGGCUGGAGUGUGGCAGAGGAGACUGGAAUUCCUGGUGUAGCAGUGAAAUGCGUAGAUAUCAGGAGGAAUACCGAUGGCGAAGGCAGGUCUCUGGGCUGACACUGACGCUCAUGCACGAAAGCCAGGGGAGCGAACGGG